Cajanus cajan (pigeon pea) is the source of this 1851-nucleotide non-coding RNA. The record is from RefSeq and is a predicted model, not a curated record. NCBI's taxonomy places the organism in Eukaryota, Viridiplantae, Streptophyta, Magnoliopsida, Fabales, Fabaceae.
UCUUAAGGCUUCAACUCCUUGAGUUACCCCUUUGAUUCAAUGCAGGAGAAUUUGGAUUGGGUGCAUGUUAUGGCUUAUGAUUACUAUCUUCCUAGGAGGGACAAUGUUACAGGUUUUCAUGCAGCUUUGUAUGGUUCAUCAGGUUGGGACAACACUGAUUCUGGCAUCAAGGAGUAGAGGAGGUUUUCUUCUAAGAAGCUGUUAAUUGGGUUGCCUUAUCAUGGAUAUGCGUGGACACUUGUGACACCUGGAGCAAACAGUGGCGUGGGAGCACCACCAUCGGGACCUGCCAUUACAAGGAUGGUUCCAUGGCUUAUAGCUUGAUAAAGAGCUACCUUAGAAGCCAGAGAAACGGAGUUGUUUCGCAUUACAAUGCUAGUUUUGUGGUGAAUCAGUUCACUGUUGCGUCUGUGACAUGGGUUAAUUUUGAUGAUGUGGAGGUAAUCAAGGCCAAAGUUUCUUAUGCAAAGGAAAAUGGGCUACUUGGUUACAAUGUGUUCCAACUAAGCAAUGACAACAAUUGGGAACUUUCGAGGGCAGCAAUUCUUCAGCUCAAGAAGUAGAUGAAGAUCAUCACAAGAGGAGGUUGGCGAGAACUUGUGCUUGCAACUCUGACUUUGGCGCUUCUAUUGGGUAUUGUGCCUUGCUACUUCCAUCGAGCAGCAGAAAAAGAUAUCGAAGGAAACGCUUCUGAUCUGAUAGUAUUCGGUUAUCUCACUAUUAAAGUGGCAACAAAUAACUUCUCAAAAGAUAAUAGGCUCGGAGAGGGUGGAUUUCGUACAGUGUACAAGGGCAAAUUACGGAGGGGUCAGGAAAUAGCUGUAAGAAGACUCUCAGAAACCUCCAAUCAAGGCCUUGAAGAGUUUCAGUCUUUCAGAAUGAGAUCACACUUACAGCAAGAAUACAACAUGUGAAUUUGGUUAGACUACUGGGUUACUGCACAAAAAGGGAUGAGAAGAUUCUGAUCUAUGAAUACCUGCCAAAUAAAAGCUUGGAUCAUUUUCUCUUUGAUCCAAGGAAAUCAGUUCUCUCAAGACUGGAACAAGCGUGUCAAUAUCAUUGAAGGCAAUACUCAAGGCCUUUUUUAUCUCCAAGAGUACUCAAAUUUUACCAAUCUUAAUGCUAGUAAUGUUUUGCUAGAUCAUGACAUGAAUCUGAAGAUAUCAGAUUUUGGAAUAGUUAGACUUUUCAAGAAAUAUGACCUGGAAGCAAACACAUAAGAUUGUUGAAACAUAUGGGUAUGUACCUCCCGAGUAUAUGAGAAAAGGCAUAUACUCAACGAAGUUCGAUGUUUAUAGCUUUGGAGUUCUUCUCUUGCAAAUCAUAAGUGGAAAGAGGACUUCUUGUUAUUAUGGCGCACGUGAAACUGUGAAAGUAUCACCCUUUUGGAAUAUGCAUAUGAACUAUGGAGGGAAGGUAGAGGUGUGGAGUUUGUUGAGCCGUCAUUGGAUGAUACAACAUUACCUUGUAAAAGCAUGAGAUGCAUGCAGGUGGCUUUGUUGUGCGUUCAAGAGAACUCUGCGGAUAGAUCCUCCAUGUUGGAGGUUGAUUCUAUGCUGAAGAAUGAAGGUGCAGCUAUUGGUACUCCCAAAAUGCUUGCAUUUUCAGUUAAUAAGAAACAUGCAGAUAAGGAGGAAACAUCUCACAGCGGGAUCAAAUAUUCUUCAAUAAAUGAUGUUACAAUUUCUCAACUGGCACCAAGAUGAUGGAGCAGGACAUUCCUGUACUUAAACUAUUAAUCAAGUCAUUUCAGGUUAUUUUUUAUUUGAGAUUUAUAAAUAUACUUUAAUCUAAGGUGACAAUCAGGCCAUUUAAUUGAGGAACACUAUAAUCUAAGGAACAUCAAUUCAU